CGCAAUAAAGGGUGAUAGCCCCGUAAUCGACAUCUCAUAAUCAGUGAAAACGAGUAGGGCGGGACACGUGAUAUCCUGUCUGAAUAUGGGGGGACCAUCCUCCAAGGCUAAAUACUACUGACUGACCGAUAGUGAACCAGUACCGUGAGGGAAAGGCGAAAAGAACCCCUGUGAGGGGAGUGAAAUAGAACCUGAAACCGUGUACGUACAAGCAGUAGGAGCACCUUCGUGGUGUGACUGCGUACCUUUUGUAUAAUGGGUCAGCGACUUAAUUUUAGUAGCAAGGUUAACCGUUUAGGGGAGCCGUAGGGAAACCGAGUCUUAACUGGGCGUACAGUUGCUAGGAUUAGACCCGAAACCAGGUGAUCUAGCCAUGGGCAGGUUGAAGGUUGAGUAACAUCAACUGGAGGACCGAACCGACUAAUGUUUGAAAAAUUAGCGGAUGACUUGUGGCUAGGGGUGAAAGGCCAAUCAAACCUGGAGAUAGCUGGUUCUCCCCGAAAGCUAUUUAGGUAGGCCUCGGACGAAUACUACUGGGGGUAGAGCACUGUUAAGGCUAGGGGGUCAUCCCGACUUACCAACCCUUUGCAAACUCCGAAUACCAGUAAGUACUAUCCGGGAGACACACGGCGGGUGCUAACGUCCGUCGUGGAGAGGGAAACAACCCAGACCGCCAGCUAAGGUCCCAAAGUAUAGCUAAGUGGGAAACGAUGUGGGAAGGCUCAGACAGCCAGGAUGUUGGCUUAGAAGCAGCCAUCAUUUAAAGAAAGCGUAAUAGCUCACUGGUCGAGUCGGCCUGCGCGGAAGAUGUAACGGGGCUAAGCUAUACACCGAAGCUGCGGCUACGUACCUUAGGGUAUGUGGGGUAGGGGAGCGUUCUGUAAGCCGUUGAAGGUGGUCUGUAAGGGCUGCUGGAGGUAUCAGAAGUGCGAAUGCUGACAUGAGUAACGAUAAAGGGAGUGAAAAACUCCCUCGCCGGAAGACCAAGGGUUCCUGUCCAACGUUAAUCGGGGCAGGGUAAGUCGACUCCUAAGGCGAGGCCGAAAGGCGUAGUCGAUGGGAAACGGGUUAAUAUUCCCGACUUCUUACAAUUGCGAUGGGGGGACGGAGAAGGCUAGGUGGGCCUGGCGACGGUUGUCCAGGUUCAAGUACGUAGGCGGAAAGUUUAGGUAAAUCCGGACUUUC
This 1185-nucleotide ribosomal RNA is filed under the name Vibrio tasmaniensis 1F-187. RNAcentral's name for it is "bacterial LSU rRNA". It matches the Rfam family "Bacterial large subunit ribosomal RNA", at positions 353 to 1551 of the family's 2925-position model. Lineage: Bacteria; Pseudomonadati; Pseudomonadota; Gammaproteobacteria; Vibrionales; Vibrionaceae. The record is from RNAcentral.